UCUGGCCUCCCCACACUAGUUUGAAAAUCAAAUGAGAGCAUAGACGGGAAAGCCCUCCAAAAAGGCAGAAGUGUCGGCCGGCCAGCGUAAGGAACUACUAUUCAUAGCCCCAUUCUCUAACCUGGAUUGUGGUUAAGAGGACCUUAAACAUGGAAACCGGAUUCGAAACAAACUUUGCGAGCCUGGUGGCCCUCUAGUGGCCAAAUUGGACAAGUGCAACCAACGUCUUCAAUUUCUUUUCCGGGAGCCACGCAUAAUUUCACUUCCUCAGAAACAGAAAUCCACAGCAAGCCGAGGUAGACCGGCCCAAAGUUAUUCAGGCUAAAUAGGAUGUUUUACAUCAAAUUCUUACAAUACUUGCCAAACCCCUCUUCAUUCUCUUGGAGGAAUGACCCAAGAGAAUAUGUUUGGAUUCUUUGGCCAGCAUGUCUCAUAAAAUGUUGCAAAAGUUAAAGGCACAUUUCAAAAGAAAAAAAACAAAAUAAAUCUUUAGACCUGUAGGAUAUUUUUAAGGUGGUUUCAUCUUCAUAUCCUUUUAAAAUCUUUAGAAUUACUAUGUUUAAUAGCAGUAACUCCCUUGCAAAAUUUAUGGAAGAAUCACACCAACUGAUCCUUCCUCAAGACUCAGCUCAGACGUCACACGCAUCCCGUAUGUCUCAUGAGUGAAAGUGACCUCUCUGUGCUACUGAGCUUCGAAAACACUAAGCUAACUUUUGGGGGGACUUCUUUCAUCCUGCUUUUUAUCGUAAUUAUUUGUGUACAGCAUUUAUCUGCCCUUCAGAUUCUUAAGCUACGUGAGGGCCAAGUCUUUGUCUUUUGUAUCUUUAUGUUACCACAGUUCUUAACACAGUGCCUGGAGCAUUUUACAGGCUCCUUUGCCUUUUCCUUUGGGUGUGUUAUGUAGAGAGUUAAGUGAGAUAAGUUACACAACUAUAUUUUAACACCAAAGUUAGAUUCGAAACAUACUUCAUAGUUUGCCCAAGUGGUCAAAAACUUUACAUAGUCCGAAAAGGUAACAGGGAAAUUUAAGACCAUUGUGGGAGACGGCAUUGCUUAAAUUUAACCUGCAACAGAGUAAGUUCGAAGGACAGCUGAUGCGAAAUGCAACUUGUCUCAUGGGCGCAACUGAUGUUCAAAAAACAAACAAGGAAUCAAUUAACAUUGAAAAUACUGUGGUAGUUCACACUUUGGCUUUGCAUGAAAUCUGCAAGUUUGUCUGUGUCUCCCGGCAGAAACUGCUGGGAUAAUAUCCAUGGCAGUCAGCAACUCAGUGGCUCAUGAAAAGAGCACAGGAUUUCAACUUCCAGCUGUAUCUGAAUCCUGGAGCCCCGAGGCUUGGCGAGAGAUGUGAUGUCUCCAAAGGGGUUGUCAACAUCAUCGGCAUUUGUAGACUGCACACAACCCCUGUUUGCGUGACAAGAAAAGAAAACGUGUGUUUCUUCAUAAGAAAAACA
Molecule: long non-coding RNA, 1454 nt
Organism: Prionailurus viverrinus (fishing cat)
Lineage: Eukaryota; Metazoa; Chordata; Mammalia; Carnivora; Felidae
Exons: 3
Source: RefSeq, a predicted model, not a curated record